Molecule: ribosomal RNA, 274 nt
Filed under: uncultured bacterium
Lineage: Bacteria
Description: partial 16S ribosomal RNA
Rfam family: Bacterial small subunit ribosomal RNA
Source: RNAcentral
AUACGGAGGGUGCAAGCGUUGUUCGGAAUCAUUGGGCGUAAAGCGGGUGUAGGCGGCUUGGCAAGUCGGUUGUGAAAUCCCUGGGCCCAACCCAGGAACUGCAAUCGAAACUGCCUCGCUAGAGUCUCGGAGAGGGUGGCGGAAUUCCCGGUGUAGAGGUGAAAUUCGUAGAUAUCGGGAGGAACACCAGUGGCGAAGGCGGCCCUCUGGACGAUGACUGACGCUGAGACGCGAAAGCGUGGGGAGCAAACAGGAUUAGAAACCCGAGUAGUCC